Molecule: transfer RNA, 98 nt
Filed under: Cercospora zeae-maydis SCOH1-5
Lineage: Eukaryota; Fungi; Ascomycota; Dothideomycetes; Mycosphaerellales; Mycosphaerellaceae
Rfam family: tRNA
About the family: Transfer RNA (tRNA) molecules are approximately 80 nucleotides in length. Their secondary structure includes four short double-helical elements and three loops (D, anti-codon, and T loops). Further hydrogen bonds mediate the characteristic L-shaped molecular structure. tRNAs have two regions of fundamental functional importance: the anti-codon, which is responsible for specific mRNA codon recognition, and the 3' end, to which the tRNAs corresponding amino acid is attached (by aminoacyl-tRNA synthetases). tRNAs cope with the degeneracy of the genetic code in two manners: having more than one tRNA (with a specific anti-codon) for a particular amino acid; and 'wobble' base-pairing, i.e. permitting non-standard base-pairing at the 3rd anti-codon position.
Source: Rfam by way of RNAcentral
UCCGUAAUGGUCUAGUGGCUAGGAUUUGUCGCUCUCACUCCCUUGCAUUGCACUGGAACGGUACCGACAAGGCCAGGGUUCAAUUCCCUGUUACGUAC